UGGGGAAUUUUGGACAAUGGGGGAAACCCUGAUCCAGCCAUCCCGCGUGUGCGAUGAAGGCCUUCGGGUUGUAAAGCACUUUUGGCAGGAAAGAAACGUCGCGGGUUAAUACCCCGCGGAACUGACGGUACCUGCAGAAUAAGCACCGGCUAACUACGUGCCAGCAGCCGCGGUAAUACGUAGGGUGCAAGCGUUAAUCGGAAUUACUGGGCGUAAAGCGUGCGCAGGCGGUUCGGAAAGAAAGAUGUGAAAUCCCAGAGCUUAACUUUGGAACUGCAUUUUUAACUACCGGGCUAGAGUGUGUCAGAGGGAGGUGGAAUUCCGCGUGUAGCAGUGAAAUGCGUAGAUAUGCGGAGGAACACCGAUGGCGAAGGCAGCCUCCUGGGAUAACACUGACGCUCAUGCACGAAAGCGUGGGGAGCAAACAGGAUUAGAUACCCUGGUAGUCCACGCCCUAAACGAUGUCAACUAGCUGUUGGGGUCUUCGGACCUUGGUAGCGCAGCUAACGCGUGAAGUUGACCGCCUGGGGAGUACGGUCGCAAGAUUAAAAACUCAAAUGAAUUGAC
Molecule: ribosomal RNA, 567 nt
Filed under: uncultured bacterium
Lineage: Bacteria
Description: partial 16S ribosomal RNA
Rfam family: Bacterial small subunit ribosomal RNA
Source: RNAcentral